GAGAGAAAUCACAAGUAGAUGGAGAGGCAGGCAGAGAGGGGGAGAGAGGGAAGCAGGCUCCCUGCUGAGCAGAGAGCCCCAUGUGGGACUCGAUCCCAGGACCCUGAGAUCAUGACCUGAGCCGAAGGCAGCGGCUUAACCCACUGAGCCACCCAGGCACCCUAAUUGUGAAGAACCCCAAACACCAAGAGAUUAAAGAAGAACAAGUUAUGAUCCAAAUCAAGUCUGAUACUUCUUUGAAUGGAUUGCUUCCCCUGUCAGUAUCUCAAUAAAGAACCCUACUUCUUUCAAAAAUCAGCAAAUAGAAAUGCUAUGAAGAAACAAAUUGGGAGAAAUCGUCAUUCUUAGAGAAAAGGCAAACAUUCCUUAGCGCCUGGACCAGCCCAGCAAACGCACUCCUUCAGUCCCAGUGGAAAAUCCACAGUGUUCACAAGGCCUCAAAGUCUGACUUUCUGUCUCACCGACUUAUGAGACUGCUGGAUGUUCUGAUCAACACCUGCUACCUGUGAACUGGUAAGUCCCUCAAGGGACAAAUUGUCCCAGAAUUUCUCUGUGCUCCUCUUUUCUUUAGGAUCCUGGGCCUGUUAAGUCAUGAUUUUUGAAAUAUUUUUAUCUCGGCAAUUGGUGGUUCUCAAUAGUGGAAUUAGUACAUAAAACCUAGUUUGUCAUAAUCUAAAGUGGAAACAAGCUCUGACUCAUUUAAUGUGUAUUUGAAAAAAAUAACCAGCACAUAAAACAUGUGAAAUGUUAGACAAUUUUUUUAUUUAAAAAG
RNAcentral lists this long non-coding RNA (772 nucleotides) under Mustela putorius furo (domestic ferret). RNAcentral describes it as "lncRNA (ENSMPUG00000024697.1)". The record is from RNAcentral. Lineage: Eukaryota; Metazoa; Chordata; Mammalia; Carnivora; Mustelidae.